UUUAGAGCGGCUGCAACCUGACUCUAAUAUGCUGUGAAUGAGAGACCUGAGCUCGGAUUAAGAUCACCGCGGCUGGUCUGCGUGGCCCCCACAGCCCGGUGCUCGUACAGGACGGGUGGCAUUCAAGGGUAUGAAAAACAACCUUGAAAUAUCACGCAGUCUAACACUCAGUGAGAACCCACAGACGCCGAGUGUAUCAAAACAUGUAAAACCGUUUGUGGGGGGACACACAAAACGACUUUCGGCUCUCGGUCAAUCCAGACAAAUUCCACCAACUUGUUCUGAAGCUUUUCCGCCGUAAUUGAGGACAGGAUGCCCAGGAAAACCAGCUCUGCACAGACCUGCGUUUUUAUAGCUGCUAUAGUAUUCUAGUGCGCCUUCUCCCCCCACCACCAGACACACAAGCCAGACAGACACUACAAAACUGACCAGGCGUGAUAGGAAGUCGCCACCUACGUGGUCUCAAAGUCAGGCUGAGGGAAAUUCAAUAACAGAUAGAAACAUUUGUCUCCACGAAGACAAGGUGACAGGAGCGCGAGCCGGCGGGACGUGGAGACGACAGAAGGGGAGGCCGGGCCGGGCCGGGCCGGUGGACCACACAAGGGAGGGAAACAGAUCAACUCCACGGUCAACUGGAGCCCCUCUGGCGGCUGGAGCGGCGGAACAAAAGGACCUAAAGUGGACUUCAUGGGGAAUAAAUGGACAUUUACURAAAGAAAUACAGAUCACAGAGUGAGCUACAAUAUAUGUGUGAUCACUUUACCAAUUUAUCGGAAUAGCUUCAGAGAAACUGAAUCUUCARUUAAAUUAAUUGCUUGCUCAAAAAUCUGUUUUUAAAAAUGUGUUUAUUUAAAAUUUCACUGCUUCAAAGGAAAUAAAAUAUAAAUGCAUUWAUUUGCUGUUAAAAUUCA
Molecule: long non-coding RNA, 911 nt
Organism: Austrofundulus limnaeus
Lineage: Eukaryota; Metazoa; Chordata; Actinopteri; Cyprinodontiformes; Rivulidae
Exons: 2
Source: RefSeq, a predicted model, not a curated record